UGCAGCAUGAGGUCAAUUUCUCCCAUUCAAGAUCACUCCACAAUCAGGGCCACAUUUAUGUGGGACAGAUCAAUCAUGUGCCUGUGGAAAUUUGAAGAGACAGUUAACACAAGCUCUUACGAUAGCAAUUCACCGAGAACACACGCACACAGCAAAUAAACGGAAGACAAGGAUAAGCAGCUUAAGAGAUCUACAGUAAUCCCAAAGUCCCAUUCAAGAUGUCUGCUGGGGGUCACCAAAGUCAAGAGAACACCCAGGACUACUUAGGCUGAAGCUAGAGCAACACGGCAACAGUGCUAGAGCUGUCCUCACACUCAGUGCAGAAAGCGUAGAAAGUGAGAAUCCUCACAAGACCUGACUAGAAACGCCAGCUUUCGGCAAGCACCUGGGGCCACAGUGCGUUAAUGGCGUUAAAAUCUGGACAGUCUGGGCCAUUGUGCAACUCGGAAUCUUCAACUAGUACUUAUUUUGACUCUCUGGUUGCAAUAACUAUAUGUCAACACAUCUAUAAUCCUCUAUUAUUAAUUUUGUCCAACAAAUAACCCACACUACAAUCAAUACUCAGAAAGCACCUUUUUAGACAGUCUCAAUACACACCGCAGCUAGCUCAGUUGUGCUCUCUUUGUGAGGGAUUACGGGUGUACACCGAUGGGGCAGCUAAAGCCAAAGAGAAAGAGAAAGUGUUUCCAAACAGCUAACAGAGUAGUAGUUAAAGCCUGAAGAUUAAUCUCUCAAUAUAAAAGACUAAAGUGUGGGGUUGGGGAUUUAGCUCAGUGGUAAGAGCGCUUGCCUAGGAAGCGCAAGGCCCUGGGUUCGGUCCCCAGGUCCGGGGGGGAAAAAAAAAAAAAGAAAAGAAAAAAAAAAUCUAUGUAAUUGUAAAAGACUAAAGUAAGUCCAGCGACCUCUAAGAUAAAGGUGGCUGUAAUUAAACUCAAAAUACCUC
Rattus norvegicus (Norway rat) is the source of this 943-nucleotide long non-coding RNA. RefSeq lists it as uncharacterized. The record is from RefSeq and is a predicted model, not a curated record. Lineage: Eukaryota; Metazoa; Chordata; Mammalia; Rodentia; Muridae.